UCCCUAAAGAACAUUGUAAAAGCAAAAGUUACCCUCAACCAAACGAACAAAAGGCAAAAGGGAAUAAUUUCUGCACAACCCGCGCCAAGGCCUAAUCGUAUACGUUACACCUAUAGGAUGAAUCAUCAUUAGAUAGAAAAUGGUUCGUCCCUCAAACUGUUGCAAUCUAACAGUGCAAUACAAUAUCAAUCUGGCUCGUGGUUCCCGCGACUAAAUCACGCACCUCCUAUGAUGUGUUCUAACCCUAAAAUCAGCCAACUAAAUAGUAAAUACUUACUCCACAACCAAUCUAUAUGAAUUUCCCAUCAUCAGCAGUCAAACUACCACCGUGCCAUGAGCUGUCAUUUUCAAGAAAAUCACUUCCAUCUGUGG
RNAcentral lists this unclassified non-coding RNA (372 nucleotides) under Hevea brasiliensis (rubber tree). The record is from RNAcentral. Lineage: Eukaryota; Viridiplantae; Streptophyta; Magnoliopsida; Malpighiales; Euphorbiaceae.